UGUUCUCCAAGAAUGCAAAGCUUCCUAUCAGAAGAGCAGCAGUCUUAUUUAUCUGAGAGAUCUGCUGUGUGACCCUGAGCCCUCUCUGCGCAUCAUCGCCUCUCAGGCUCUCUUCCAAGUCCGGGAGGUAGGGACUGAACAAGACCCCAGGCAGACUGUUUGCGGCUUGAGGAAACUCAUGGGCUGUCUUUCUACUUAGAAAUGCAAGGCAAGUAACAUCAGGUAAAAACUAAUCCUUUCAGAAACCAUAGAAGCAAUCAUGCCCCAUUUUUUUUUUCAGACUGAAAAUAAUGCCAGCCUGAAGCUACCUCCUGCCAUUUAAUUACCUCAGAACAUAUUUUUUGCUGUCAAAAUCUUUAAGGAAAUAGAAUAUAUGAGGGAG
RNAcentral lists this long non-coding RNA (382 nucleotides) under Lynx canadensis (Canada lynx). RNAcentral's name for it is "lncRNA (ENSLCNG00005001243.1)". Lineage: Eukaryota; Metazoa; Chordata; Mammalia; Carnivora; Felidae. The record is from RNAcentral.